AGAAAUCUUGGGCCAAUCUUCCCCAUUCUCACGUUGACACCUUUGUUUCAGCAUAGAACAACCAGAGAUGAUUAGAGAAGUAAGGGAAGAAGGCAGCCCCUCUACUGGCAAGGACUGUAACAUAGGGCACUUCCAAAUCUUCAAUUCUCCAAGACAGGAGAGGUUUUGAAGUCCCCUAUAGUCUAGAGACUUCAGAUUUUGAAAAUCCUUGAUUUUAAGAGAGGUAAGAGUGCAAGGCAGCAGCAUCUCAUCUGGAAAGGAUUCCACAUCUUUAUCCUUGCCAAUAGUCAAGUUUAAAAGAGAAUGGAGUCUCCGCAAACCCCAUUGCAUGCGACCAGCAAUAAGUUUAUUGCAACGUAGGACCGCAAGUGAUUCUAAUUUAGAGGGUAGACCCCCUGCUGGAAACGACACAAGUUCCUGGCAAUUGAAGAUCACCAGCUUCAUAAGGCAAGGGAGGAGGGAGUGCAUACUUCCUGGAAGCUCUUUCAAAUUUGGGCAGUUCUUUAUCGUCAGUUCUCUGAGAGAGAUGAGGCAUUGAAGGCCUUUAGAGUCUAAAUAUUUCAGAUACUUAUAACUUGAGAUUGUGAGAGAGGUAACAGUAGAGGGCAGCAGUAUCUCUUCUGGAAACGACUCCACUUCCUCAAUCGUGCCAAUAAGAAACUCCGACAGAGAGGGAAGCCUUGGUAAAUCCCAUCGCAAGCGGCUGUCAAAGAGUUUGUUACAGUG
Molecule: unclassified non-coding RNA, 726 nt
Filed under: Hevea brasiliensis (rubber tree)
Lineage: Eukaryota; Viridiplantae; Streptophyta; Magnoliopsida; Malpighiales; Euphorbiaceae
Source: RNAcentral